RNAcentral lists this ribosomal RNA (371 nucleotides) under uncultured bacterium. Its description in RNAcentral is "bacterial SSU rRNA". It matches the Rfam family "Bacterial small subunit ribosomal RNA", at positions 527 to 896 of the family's 1533-position model. The record is from RNAcentral.
GGAGGGUGCGAGCGUUGUUCGGAAUUACUGGGCGUAAAGCGCGUGUAGGCGGCCUUGCAAGUCAGGCGUGAAAGCCCUCGGCUUAACCGAGGAAGUGCGUCUGAAACUGCUUGGCUUGAGUACGGGAGAGGGAGGCGGAAUUCCCUGUGUAGAGGUGAAAUUCGUAGAUAUUGGGAGGAACACCGGUGGCGAAAGCGGCCUCCUGGACCGAUACUGACGCUGAGACGCGAAAGCGUGGGGAGCAAACAGGAUUAGAUACCCUGGUAGUCCACGCGGUAAACGAUGGGCACUAGGUGUGGGGGGUAUCCACUCCUCCCGUGCCGAAGCUAACGCAUUAAGUGCCCCGCCUGGGGAGUACGGCCGCAAGGUUA